Varanus komodoensis (Komodo dragon) is the source of this 385-nucleotide long non-coding RNA. RefSeq lists it as uncharacterized. The record is from RefSeq and is a predicted model, not a curated record. NCBI's taxonomy places the organism in Eukaryota, Metazoa, Chordata, Lepidosauria, Squamata, Varanidae. The transcript has 4 exons.
CCUUCCAUUGGAUCAGCGGGCGGGAACCGGCCCCACUCGUUUUCUCUAGUUUCAAGAUGGCGGCUGCCGGAGUUGCUCGGCGAAGCUUCCAGGCCUUCAUUGCCCGGAUACCCUGGACCAUGGGUGCACUUAGAUGCUCAUCACACGGAAUAUGUUUUCCCAUUUCUUAUCAUAACUGCUUUUAAAAAGUUUCCAUUGGUGCCAGUGAAGCAAGGGGGCAGUAUACAGGAGAUGCUGCUGCUUGCAAGGAUGAAAUAAAACAAUAUUUUUCUCAAUUUGGGACUGUGAAAAAUUGCAUUCUGCCAUUUAAUACAGAAACAGGAUUUCAUAAAGGUUUUUGCUGGGUUGGAUUUUCUACAGAAGAAGGUCUCAAAAAUGCUUUGCA